CCUACGGGUGGCAGCAGUGAGGAAUAUUGGUCAAUGGACGAGAGUCUGAACCAGCCAAGUAGCGUGAAGGAUGACUGCCCUAUGGGUUGUAAACUUCUUUUAUAUGGGAAUAAAAUGUUCCACGUGUGCGUUUUUGUAUGUACCUUAUGAAUAAGGAUCGGCUAACUCCGUGCCAGCAGCCGCGGUAAUACGGAGGAUGCGAGCGUUAUCCGGAUUCAUUGGGUUUAAAGGGUGCGUAGGCGGGCCUUUAAGUCAGUUGUGAAAGUUUGGGGCUCAACCCCAACAAUCCAGUGGAUACUGGCAGUCUUGAGUGCGGUUGAGGUAGGCGGAAUUCGUGGUGUAGCGGUGAAAUGCUUAGAUAUCGCGAAGAACCCCGAUUGCGAAGGCAGCUUGCUAUGCUGUGACUGACAUUGAGGCUCGAAAGGGUGGGUAUCAAACAGGAUUAGAUACCCGUGUAGUC
This 460-nucleotide ribosomal RNA is filed under the name uncultured bacterium. RNAcentral's name for it is "partial 16S ribosomal RNA". It matches the Rfam family "Bacterial small subunit ribosomal RNA", at positions 338 to 795 of the family's 1533-position model. The record is from RNAcentral.